CCCAAAUUGCUAAAUGCAAAACCUUGGUUAAUUUACUUUAUCUUCCCAAGCUUCUCAAUUUUUCUUAUCUGUACAAUAUUUCAUCAUCAUUAUUGCUGUUCAAACCACCAGACAUGUUCGACUGAACAGCAAGGGAAGCUUUGAAAUGGAAACUAAUAUUAGCAACAAAGAUUUCUAUGGGAGUCUUACUAUUUGCAAAAUGUUUCCACGUAUAUUUUUUUCCUUAAAGCAUUUUAGGCAGUGAUUUUUCAAACUCUGCUCACUGAAUCCCCAAAGUCCCUGGAGCCUCCCCGCGGGAGAGAGGACCAAGAAUGGAUUCCCGGCUUAAGACAAAAGAAGUUGGAAACUCACUGAUUCCAAGAAAGUGGUGCAAGAAGGAAGGUGGUGACUGUUGUGGGCAUGACAGCCUCCCCUCUUGCUCAGAAUGGUUCACCCAUCCUGCUCUUUCUUUCCCAGCUGCUUCUUGACUCCCUGGGUCACAGCUCAGCUACUAGAAACAAUGUCCCAUCCACCCCCUCCAAAGCCCAGAGUCCAGGGUCCUCACCCUAGUUCACCAAAACCCCAGACCCGCCCUCACUCGUGAUGCUUAAGUCCUGUCAUGACUCAGACAGGCAUUGGAGAGAUGAUAAAAUUCACAGUCCGAGGACAUUCCGGAGACUUGCUGCCUUACUUCCAAAGGGCAAUGAUUGUCAUUAUGCUAACUGCUUUCCUGGUCAAAAAACAUGUGUUUUUAUUAUUAUUAUUAUUAUUAUUAUUAUUAUACUUUAAGUUUUAGGGUACAUGUGCACAAUGUGCAGGUUUGUUACAUAUGUAUACAUGUGCCAUGUUGGUGUGCUGCAC
RNAcentral lists this long non-coding RNA (840 nucleotides) under Homo sapiens (human). RNAcentral's name for it is "HSALNT0002024". Lineage: Eukaryota; Metazoa; Chordata; Mammalia; Primates; Hominidae. The record is from RNAcentral.